RNAcentral lists this ribosomal RNA (497 nucleotides) under uncultured bacterium. RNAcentral's name for it is "partial 16S ribosomal RNA". It matches the Rfam family "Bacterial small subunit ribosomal RNA", at positions 28 to 507 of the family's 1533-position model. The record is from RNAcentral.
GAUGAACGCUGGCGGCGUGCCUAAUACAUGCAAGUCGAGCGAACGGACGAGAAGCUUGCUUCUCUGAUGUUAGCGGCGGACGGGUGAGUAACACGUGGAUAACCUACCUAUAAGACUGGGAUAACUUCGGGAAACCGGAGCUAAUACCGGAUAAUAUUUUGAACCGCAUGGUUCAAAAGUGAAAGACGGUCUUGCUGUCACUUAUAGAUGGAUCCGCGCUGCAUUAGCUAGUUGGUAAGGUAACGGCUUACCAAGGCAACGAUGCGUAGCCGACCUGAGAGGGUGAUCGGCCACACUGGAACUGAGACACGGUCCAGACGCCUACGGGAGGCAGCAGUAGGGAAUCUUCCGCAAUGGGCGAAAGCUUGACGGAGCAACGCCGCGUGAGUGAUGAAGGUCUUCGGAUCGUAAAACUCUGUUAUUAGGGAAGAACAAAUGUGUAAGUAACUAUGCACGUCUUGACGGUACCUAAUCAGAAAGCCACGGCUAACUACGUG